UACGUAGGGGGCAAGCGUUAAUCGGAAUCACUGGGCUUAAAGGGUGCGCAGGCGGAUAUGCAAGUGCCUUGUGAAAUCCCACCGCUCAACGGUGGAAUUGCUCGGCAGACUGCAUAUCUUGAACACGACAGGGGCUGUCGGAACUGUAGGUGGAGCGGUGAAAUGCGUAGAUAUCUACAGGAACGCCAAAGGCGAAGGCAGGCAGCUGGGUCGUUGUUGACGCUCAGGCACGAAAGCGUGGGGAGCGAACGGG
This 253-nucleotide unclassified non-coding RNA is filed under the name uncultured Phycisphaeraceae bacterium. Its description in RNAcentral is "contains 16S-23S intergenic spacer region". It matches the Rfam family "Bacterial small subunit ribosomal RNA", at positions 524 to 776 of the family's 1533-position model. Lineage: Bacteria; Pseudomonadati; Planctomycetota; Phycisphaerae; Phycisphaerales; Phycisphaeraceae. The record is from RNAcentral.